UGUUAAUCGUGGGGCUGCUGUUCAGGCCCUGAGUGGAGGACAGGGUGGUGGUGGGGACCAAGCAGGAGGGACAGAGGUGAGUUAGAGAGGCCGCACCCCAGGGUCCCUGCUGUGUGCGGCGGGAGGCGGCAUCCCUGUCCCGCUCCCCCUAGGGCCAGCAACUCCUCUGCCCCUCACUGUGAGACCAAAAGUGUCUCAGGCCCUGAUCAAGGCCUCCUGGGAGACAAAAAAUCAUCCCCACUCUCUGAUUUCAUGGUGAGGGUUGCUCUCCAACUGCCCCAAACUUCUGGUCCUUGUUAAGAGAGACAUCGGAGGCCCACCCAGAGUUUAGCAUUUGGUCAGUCCAGGUGCAGGCUGAGAAUUUCUGCUCUGAACAAGUAGCUGAUGCUGCUGACCUGCAGGCGACACAUCUGCCAUGCUCCGUCUGUGAAGUCCCCAGUUCGGCAGUUCCCAGAUCUCUCUGCGCGUUACAAUCCCCCGGACCCUUUCACACCUUCCAAACACCACCUCUGGGAGUGCGAGGGGCAGCCUGAGCUCUCCAAACAGGCCUGAGGGCUUCUGCUCUGUGCCCUGCGCCUCAUCUUGGUGACUGGGGCCUGAGCCACGCCCGUCCUCCUGAGGCUGCGUCACGCAAGUCUCUCUGCACAGCUACAUCACAAAUGCUAUUCAUGACCAUGCAGGCUGCCUCUGCGGACAGGGAGGAGGAAGAAGACCAUGACAGAAGUGUUGGAUCACGGCGUUCCACGGGCAGCAGCUCACUCUCACUGCAGAAACAGUCCCUAAGGGACCAGCCUGGAUGCCGAGCCCUGGCCCGGAGCUCUGACGGGCAUGGAAGGAGGAUAAAAUGAGCAACAGCACAGGACUCCUGAUGGAGACCGCAGACGGGGACAAUGUGAGUCCACCCUCAUCAGCUGAGGGCCACCGUGAACCACAUUUGGUGGGGAAACAGAAAAGGAAGCGGGGCUGAACCCCUCGACUCAGGAGCUCCACGGCCCUGGAGAGGAGACCCAGGGUGCAGCAGAGGAGCCCCUAGGUCACAGGUGACACAGCCCUCACGGAGUCGCGGGAGACGAAGCCGUGGAGAGCAAAGCUCGGAGAUGGGGAGGCUGGGAGCUGUCAGAUGGUGAGCACGAGUGUCGAGUGCACCGUGACUUUACAGGACCUGCUGACCUGAGGAAAGGAACAGCCCUGACAUUUGUUAAAUACAUGCUGUGUGGAAGACAGAACCUUCCCAUUUUUCUUACUCAACACUCACAAUAACCCUAGGAAGUGGAUGUGAGGAGCCCAUUAACAGAGAGGUAAGCAGAGUCACGGAGGUCAUCAAGGUGGUCAUUGCACUGGUGUC
This 1345-nucleotide long non-coding RNA is filed under the name Fukomys damarensis (Damara mole-rat). RNAcentral describes it as "lncRNA (ENSFDAG00000022045.1)". Lineage: Eukaryota; Metazoa; Chordata; Mammalia; Rodentia; Bathyergidae. The record is from RNAcentral.